Molecule: ribosomal RNA, 476 nt
Filed under: uncultured organism
Description: partial 16S ribosomal RNA
Rfam family: Bacterial small subunit ribosomal RNA
Source: RNAcentral
CACUCCUACGGGAGGCAGCAGUGGGGAAUAUUGCACAAUGGGCGCAAGCCUGAUGCAGCCAUGCCGCGUGUAUGAAGAAGGCCUUCGGGUUGUAAAGUACUUUCAGCGGGGAGGAAGGCAAUACGGUUAAUAACCGUGUUGAUUGACGUUACCCGCAGAAGAAGCACCGGCUAACUCCGUGCCAGCAGCCGCGGUACUACGGAGGGUGCAAGCGUUAAUCGGAAUUACUGGGCGUAAAGCGCACGCAGGCGGUCUGUCAAGUCGGAUGGGAAAACCCCGGGCUCAACCUGGGAACUGCAUUGGAAACUGGCAGGCUUGAGUCUUGUAGAGGGGGGUAGAAUUCCAGGUGUAGCGGUGAAAUGCGGAGAGAUCUGGAGGAAUACCGGUGGCGAAGGCGGCCCCCUGGACAAAGACUGACGCUCAGGUGCGAAAGCGUGGGGAGCAAACAGGAUUAGAAACCCUAGUAGUCCCAUGAU